GACGAACGCUGGCGGCGUGCUUAACACAUGCAAGUCGAACGGAAAGGCCCUGCUUGCAGGGUACUCGAGUGGCGAACGGGUGAGUAACACGUGGGUGAUCUGCCCUGCACUUCGGGAUAAGCCUGGGAAACUGGGUCUAAUACCGGAUAGGAGCCAUUUUUAGUGUGAUGGUUGGAAAGUUUUUUCGGUGUAGGAUGAGCUCGCGGCCUAUCAGCUUGUUGGUGGGGUAAUGGCCUACCAAGGCGGCGACGGGUAGCCGGCCUGAGAGGGUGGACGGCCACCUUGGGCCUGAGAUACGGCCCAGACUCCUACGGGAGGCAGCAGUGGGGAAUAUUGCACAAUGGGCGCAAGCCUGAUGCAGCGACGCCGCGUGGGGGAUGACGGCCUUCGGGUUGUAAACUCCUUUCGCUAGGGACGAAGCUUUUUGUGACGGUACCUAGAUAAGAAGCACCGGCUAACUACGUG
Molecule: ribosomal RNA, 465 nt
Filed under: uncultured bacterium
Lineage: Bacteria
Description: partial 16S ribosomal RNA
Rfam family: Bacterial small subunit ribosomal RNA
Source: RNAcentral